This 105-nucleotide microRNA precursor is filed under the name Marmota monax (woodchuck). Lineage: Eukaryota; Metazoa; Chordata; Mammalia; Rodentia; Sciuridae. The record is from RNAcentral.
AUAUGAAUCAACUGGAAAACUUGUCAAAAUGUGGAUUUUGAGACCAUAAGUCAGAGGAGGGGCUGGAGAUUCUGCAUUUCUAACAGAAUCCUGGGUGAUGCUCCU